UCCUGGAAGCUCAGAGGGUAAGGCGUCUGCCUGUAAUGCAGGAGACCCAGGUUUGAUCCCUGGAUCAGGAA
This 71-nucleotide transfer RNA is filed under the name Bos taurus (domestic cattle). It matches the Rfam family "tRNA". From Rfam's summary of the family: Transfer RNA (tRNA) molecules are approximately 80 nucleotides in length. Their secondary structure includes four short double-helical elements and three loops (D, anti-codon, and T loops). The record is from Rfam by way of RNAcentral. RNAcentral also lists the same sequence under 5 other names. Lineage: Eukaryota; Metazoa; Chordata; Mammalia; Artiodactyla; Bovidae.